RNAcentral lists this ribosomal RNA (552 nucleotides) under Burkholderia sp. Z4S-240. Its description in RNAcentral is "bacterial SSU rRNA". It matches the Rfam family "Bacterial small subunit ribosomal RNA", at positions 38 to 586 of the family's 1533-position model. The record is from RNAcentral. Lineage: Bacteria; Pseudomonadati; Pseudomonadota; Betaproteobacteria; Burkholderiales; Burkholderiaceae.
GGCGGCAUGCCUUACACAUGCAAGUCGAACGGCAGCACGGGGGCAACCCUGGUGGCGAGUGGCGAACGGGUGAGUAAAACAUCGGAACGUGUCCUGUAGUGGGGGAUAGCCCGGCGAAAGCCGGAUUAAUACCGCAUACGCUCUGCGGAGGAAAGCGGGGGAUCUUCGGACCUCGCGCUACAGGGGCGGCCGAUGGCAGAUUAGCUGGUUGGUGGGGUAAAGGCCUACCAAGGCGACGAUCUGUAGCUGGUCUGAGAGGACGACCAGCCACACUGGGACUGAGACACGGCCCAGACUCCUACGGGAGGCAGCAGUGGGGAAUUUUGGACAAUGGGGGCAACCCUGAUCCAGCAAUGCCGCGUGUGUGAAGAAGGCCUUCGGGUUGUAAAGCACUUUUGUCCGGAAAGAAAACCUCUGCCCUAAUACGGUGGGGGGAUGACGGUACCGGAAGAAUAAGCACCGGCUAACUACGUGCCAGCAGCCGCGGUAAUACGUAGGGUGCAAGCGUUAUCGGAAUUACUGGGCGUAAAGCGUGCGCAGGCGGUUCGCUAG